This 433-nucleotide ribosomal RNA is filed under the name uncultured bacterium. RNAcentral's name for it is "partial 16S ribosomal RNA". It matches the Rfam family "Bacterial small subunit ribosomal RNA", at positions 29 to 507 of the family's 1533-position model. The record is from RNAcentral.
AACGAACGCUGGCGGCAUGCCUAACACAUGCAAGUCGAACGAGACCUUCGGGUCUGGUGGCGCACGGGUGCGUAACGCGUGGGAACCUGCCCUUAGGUUCGGAAUAACCCCCCGAAAGGGGUGCUAAUACCGGAUAAUGUCUUCGGACCAAAGAUUUAUCGCCUUUGGAUGGGCCCGCGUUGGAUUAGCUAGUUGGUAGGGUAAAAGCCUACCAAGGCGACGAUCCAUAGCUGGUCUGAGAGGAUGAUCAGCCACACUGGGACUGAGACACGGCCCAGACUCCUACGGGAGGCAGCAGUGGGGAAUAUUGGACAAUGGGCGAAAGCCUGAUCCAGCAAUGCCGCGUGAGUGAUGAAGGCCUUAGGGUUGUAAAGCUCUUUUACCCGGGAUGAUAAUGACAGUACCGGGAGAAUAAGCUCCGGCUAACUCCGUG